This 253-nucleotide ribosomal RNA is filed under the name uncultured bacterium. RNAcentral's name for it is "partial 16S ribosomal RNA". It matches the Rfam family "Bacterial small subunit ribosomal RNA", at positions 524 to 776 of the family's 1533-position model. The record is from RNAcentral.
UACGUAGGGGGCAAGCGUUAUCCGGAUUUACUGGGUGUAAAGGGAGCGUAGACGGCCAGACAAGUCAGAAGUGAAAGCCCAGGGCUCAACCCUGGGACUGCCUUUGAAACUGCCGGGCUGGAGUGCAGGAGAGGUAAGCGGAAUUCCUAGUGUAGCGGUGAAAUGCGUAGAUAUUAGGAGGAACACCAGUGGCGAAGGCGGCUUACUGGACUGUAACUGACGUUGAGGCUCGAAAGCGUGGGGAGCAAACAGG